This 468-nucleotide ribosomal RNA is filed under the name uncultured bacterium. RNAcentral's name for it is "partial 16S ribosomal RNA". It matches the Rfam family "Bacterial small subunit ribosomal RNA", at positions 28 to 507 of the family's 1533-position model. The record is from RNAcentral.
GAUGAACGCUGGCGGCGUGCUUAACACAUGCAAGUCGAACGGUGAAGGCGGAGCUUGCUCUGCUGGAUCAGUGGCGAACGGGUGAGUAACACGUGAGCAAUCUGCCCCUGACUCUGGGAUAAGCGCUGGAAACGGCGUCUAGUACUGGAUACGAGCUGCGAAGGCAUCUUCAGCAGCUGGAAAGAACUUCGGUCAGGGAUGAGCUCGCGGCCUAUCAGCUUGUUGGUGAGGUAACGGCUCACCAAGGCGUCGACGGGUAGCCGGCCUGAGAGGGUGACCGGCCACACUGGGACUGAGACACGGCCCAGACUCCUACGGGAGGCAGCAGUGGGGAAUAUUGCACAAUGGGCGAAAGCCUGAUGCAGCAACGCCGCGUGAGGGACGACGGCCUUCGGGUUGUAAACCUCUUUUAGCAGGGAAGAAGCGAAAGUGACGGUACCUGCAGAAAAAGCGCCGGCUAACUACGUG